GGGGAACGACGGGGACGGGGCGGCGGGAAUACGUAGGGGGCGAGCGGUGUCCGGAAGUGUGGGUCGUGAGGAGCUCGUAGGGGGCCUGUCGCGGAGGAUGUGAAAGCCCGGGGCGUAACCGCGGGUCUGCAGUCGAUACGGGCAGGCUAGAGGGUGGUAGGGGAGAUCGGAAUUCCGGGUGUAGCGGUGAAAGGCGCAGAUAUCAGGAGGAACACCGGUGGCGAAGGCGGAUCUCUGGGCCAUUACUGACGCUGAGGAGCGAAAGCGUGGGAGCGAACAGGAUUAGAUACCCUAGUAGUC
This 300-nucleotide ribosomal RNA is filed under the name uncultured Thermoanaerobacter sp. RNAcentral describes it as "bacterial SSU rRNA". It matches the Rfam family "Bacterial small subunit ribosomal RNA", at positions 495 to 795 of the family's 1533-position model. Lineage: Bacteria; Bacillati; Bacillota; Clostridia; Thermoanaerobacterales; Thermoanaerobacteraceae. The record is from RNAcentral.